AGUGAACGCUGGCGGUAGGCCUAACACAUGCAAGUCGAACGGCAGCACAGUAAGAGCUUGCUCUUACGGGUGGCGAGUGGCGGACGGGUGAGGAAUACAUCGGAAUCUACUUUUUCGUGGGGGAUAACGUAGGGAAACUUACGCUAAUACCGCAUACGACCUACGGGUGAAAGCAGGGGAUCUUCGGACCUUGCGCGAUUGAAUGAGCCGAUGUCGGAUUAGCUAGUUGGCGGGGUAAAGGCCCACCAAGGCGACGAUCCGUAGCUGGUCUGAGAGGAUGAUCGGCCACACUAGAACUGAGACACGGUCCAGACUCCUACGGGAGGCAGCAGUGGGGAAUAUUGGACAAUGGGCGCAAGCCUGAUCCAGCCAUACCGCGUGGGUGAAGAAGGCCUUCGGGUUGUAAAGCCCUUUUGUUGGGAAAGAAAAGCAGCAGGUUAAUACCCCGCUGUUCUGACGGUACCCAAAGAAGAAGCACCGGCUAACUUCGUG
Molecule: ribosomal RNA, 492 nt
Filed under: uncultured bacterium
Lineage: Bacteria
Description: partial 16S ribosomal RNA
Rfam family: Bacterial small subunit ribosomal RNA
Source: RNAcentral